Myripristis murdjan (pinecone soldierfish) is the source of this 298-nucleotide long non-coding RNA. RefSeq lists it as uncharacterized. Lineage: Eukaryota; Metazoa; Chordata; Actinopteri; Holocentriformes; Holocentridae. The transcript has 3 exons. The record is from RefSeq and is a predicted model, not a curated record.
GGAUGUGGGCCAGUGUGUCACUUUUGCCUUAUCGAAUAAACGCCUGACGGGAUAACUAGAAGACGACAAUACCUCUCGAGUGGUUCCAAGCCAAAACGAACAACAGCUACAUCACCAACAACAGCAAUAACAACAGCGACAAGUGCAACAGCAGCUUGAAUGAUAACGCCAGGAGUCCCCGUCAGGACCCCUAGGCGUCCCUGUGCCUGCCUGCCAAAAACGUCUGCAUCUCCUGGACCCCCUCGAGGCAGGGGACAGCCAAAUGUCACUUGGACCCUCUACAGAGUGGAGAGAGGCG